This 205-nucleotide unclassified non-coding RNA is filed under the name Hevea brasiliensis (rubber tree). Lineage: Eukaryota; Viridiplantae; Streptophyta; Magnoliopsida; Malpighiales; Euphorbiaceae. The record is from RNAcentral.
AUUUUUUUUAAUUUUCAUUUUUUUGUCAUUUUCUUACUUUGCAAUAAUAAUACAUGUGGACAUAUUCACAAGAACCAUGUCAGCUUUCGAUUUCAUGUCAUUUCGUGUAUCUAUCACGGUGAUUAAUCUCUCAACGUCAUGUGUUAAAUUGUUAUAAAAUUGAAAAACUUAAGUUAAUGUUAAUGUGGAAAGUUCAAGGGAGCCA